RNAcentral lists this ribosomal RNA (253 nucleotides) under uncultured bacterium. RNAcentral describes it as "partial 16S ribosomal RNA". It matches the Rfam family "Bacterial small subunit ribosomal RNA", at positions 524 to 776 of the family's 1533-position model. The record is from RNAcentral.
UACGUAGGGCGCGAGCGUUGUCCGGAAUUAUUGGGCGUAAAGAGCUCGUAGGCGGCUUGUCACGUCGGGUGUGAAAGCCCGGGGCUUAACCCCGGGUCUGCAUUCGAUACGGGCAGGCUAGAGUGUGGUAGGGGAGAUCGGAAUUCCUGGUGUAGCGGUGAAAUGCGCAGAUAUCAGGAGGAACACCGGUGGCGAAGGCGGCAUCCUGGACCAACACUGACACUGAGGAGCGAAAGCCAGGGGAGCAAACGGG